AAAGCCUGCCAUGAAUGCUAAUGCUUGUUAGCAAGGCCACCAUUGACAGAGGAUGUCCUCAAAUGGACAAGGAGGGCUGCGACACCCGAUGAGCGCAGCCCAAUAACGAUUUCAGCAGACGAGGGCCGUGCUGAUGAAAGGCGUCCUUAACCUCGCUGUGAGGCUGCUGAGGACUGUCAUCACCUGGCGGGGAGUCGAACCAGCCAGCGAGCCGCAGGAUCCGACAUGGUUUUUACCUGUGACGUGAUCCUCCGUUAUUAUAACGCAGUCAGAAAAAUUUCUUUGUGAUGCAGAUUUGUAUUGUAGAUUUCAGUUUUGCACAACUCCAGCAAUUGUUAGUAAGGUGACAUCUGGACAUCUACUUCCACUAAGCAGUAAUAUAUUCAAACAAAAUGGGUUCUGUGCUUCACGGAAAUAUGUUCUGUGAUCUCAUGGUCUUUUCAGUAAAAUGUAUUCCGUUA
Molecule: long non-coding RNA, 461 nt
Organism: Gambusia affinis (western mosquitofish)
Lineage: Eukaryota; Metazoa; Chordata; Actinopteri; Cyprinodontiformes; Poeciliidae
Exons: 2
Source: RefSeq, a predicted model, not a curated record